AGCUCUGUAAGCGUAUACCAAAGUUGUUGCAGUUAAAACGCUCGUAGUCGGAUUUUGGGGCAGCCCGUGCUGUGCGCGUAGUGCGUGCGGCGCUGGGGUGUCCUUUUGUGGAGGGCGGCGCGUCGUGGCUUCACUGUCGCGGCGUGUCGGCGCCACCGUUUACUGUGAAAAAAUUAGAGUGUUCAAAGCAGGCGUUUGCCGUGAAUACAUUAGCAUGGAAUAAUAGAAUAGGACUUGGUUUCUAUUUUGUUGGUUUGUGAGAGCCGAGUAAUGAUUAAGAGGGACGGUUGGGGGCAUUUGUAUUCCAGCGUCAGAGGUGAAAUUCUUGGAUUGCUGGAAGACAAACCGCUGCGAAAGCGUCUGCCAAGGACGUUUUCA
This 378-nucleotide ribosomal RNA is filed under the name uncultured eukaryote. Its description in RNAcentral is "SSU rRNA". It matches the Rfam family "Eukaryotic small subunit ribosomal RNA", at positions 587 to 972 of the family's 1831-position model. The record is from RNAcentral.